UCUUUAUGGUUUAAAUAUAAGGUCUAGCCUGCCCACUGACAAAAGUUGAAGGGCCGCGGUAAUUUGACCGUGCGAAGGUAGCAUAAUCAUUAGCCACUUAAUUGGAGGAUGGAAUGAAGGGUUGGAUGAGAAGUAAACUGUCUUUUUAUUGAAGUUUGAAUUUUACUUUUAAGUGAAAAGGCUUUAAUUUAAUGAAGUGAAGAUAAGACCCUAUAAAACUUUACAUAAAUUUGAGAUAUAUUUAUUCUAUAUUGUGAAGCAUAAUACAUCUAAUCUAUGUUUUGUUGGGGCGACAGGAAUAGAAAUAAAAUAUCUGUUUUUUUAAUAAGUUAUUAAUAAGUAAAAAAUGAUCCUUUUGUAAAGAUUAGAAGAUUAAGUUACUUUAGGGAUAACAGCGUGAUUUUCUUUGAGAGUUCUUAUCGACAAGAGUAGUUGCGACCUCGAUGUUGAAUUAAAAUUUAUCUUCUAAGUGUAGCAGCUUAGGUAGUAAGUCUGUUCGACUUUUAAAUUUUUACA
RNAcentral lists this ribosomal RNA (516 nucleotides) under Cuapetes americanus. Its description in RNAcentral is "partial 16S ribosomal RNA". It matches the Rfam family "Bacterial large subunit ribosomal RNA", at positions 1830 to 2600 of the family's 2925-position model. Lineage: Eukaryota; Metazoa; Arthropoda; Malacostraca; Decapoda; Palaemonidae. The record is from RNAcentral.